AGUUCGAUUAUGGCUCAGGAUGAACGCUAGCGACAGGCUUAACACAUGCAAGUCGAGGGGCAGCACAGGUAGCAAUACCGGGUGGCGACCGGCGCACGGGUGAGUAACGCGUAUGCAACUUGCCUAUCAGAGGGGGAUAACCCGGCGAAAGUCGGACUAAUACCGCAUGAAGCAGGGGCCCCGCAUGGGGAUAUUUGCUAAAGAUUCAUCGCUGAUAGAUAGGCAUGCGUUCCAUUAGGCAGUUGGCGGGGUAACGGCCCACCAAACCGACGAUGGAUAGGGGUUCUGAGAGGAAGGUCCCCCACAUUGGUACUGAGACACGGACCAAACUCCUACGGGAGGCAGCAGUGAGGAAUAUUGGUCAAUGGGCGUAAGCCUGAACCAGCCAAGUCGCGUGAGGGAUGAAGGUUCUAUGGAUCGUAAACCUCUUUUAUAAGGGAAUAAAGUGCGGGACGUGUCCCGUUUUGUAUGUACCUUAUGAAUAAGGAUCGGCUAACUCCGUGCCAGCAGCCGCGGUAAUACGGAGGAUCCGAGCGUUAUCCGGAUUUAUUGGGUUUAAAGGGUGCGUAGGCGGCCUUUUAAGUCAGCGGUGAAAGUCUGUGGCUCAACCAUAGAAUUGCCGUUGAAACUGGGGGGCUUGAGUAUGUUUGAGGCAGGCGGAAUGCGUGGUGUAGCGGUGAAAUGCUUAGAUAUCACGCAGAACCCCGAUUGCGAAGGCAGCCUGCCAAGCCAUGACUGACGCUGAUGCACGAAAGCGUGGGGAUCAAACAGGAUUAGAUACCCUGGUAGUCCACGCAGUAAACGAUGAUCACUAGCUGUUUGCGAUACACAGUAAGCGGCACAGCGAAAGCGUUAAGUGAUCCACCUGGGGAGUACGCCGACAACGGUGAAACUCAAAGGAAUUGACGGGGGCCCGCACAAGCGGAGGAACAUGUGGUUUAAUUCGAUGAUACGCGAGGAACCUUACCCGGGUUUGAACGCAUUCGGACCGAGGUGGAAACACCUUUUCUAGCAAUAGCCGUUUGCGAGGUGCUGCAUGGUUGUCGUCAGCUCGUGCCGUGAGGUGUCGGCUUAAGUGCCAUAACGAGCGCAACCCUUGCCACUAGUUACUAACAGGUAAAGCUGAGGACUCUGGUGGGACUGCCAGCGUAAGCUGCGAGGAAGGCGGGGAUGACGUCAAAUCAGCACGGCCCUUACAUCCGGGGCGACACACGUGUUACAAUGGCGUGGACAAAGGGAUGCCACCUGGCGACAGGGAGCGAAUCCCCAAACCACGUCUCAGUUCGGAUCGGAGUCUGCAACCCGACUCCGUGAAGCUGGAUUCGCUAGUAAUCGCGCAUCAGCCAUGGCGCGGUGAAUACGUUCCCGGGCCUUGUACACACCGCCCGUCAAGCCAUGGGAGCCGGGGGUACCUGAAGUCCGUAACCGCGAGGAUCGGCCUAGGGUAAAACUGGUGACUGGGGCUAAGUCGUAACAAGGUACCC
RNAcentral lists this ribosomal RNA (1484 nucleotides) under uncultured bacterium. Its description in RNAcentral is "16S ribosomal RNA". It matches the Rfam family "Bacterial small subunit ribosomal RNA". The record is from RNAcentral.